AGUCGACUCCGGGUCAAGACGAGUCGACUUUCAGUCGAAGAAGCUACUUUAAUUCAAAUCCGGAACAGUUGCCGAGUCGACUCCAGAAAAGCAUGAGUCGACUCCCGCUACAGCCGAGUCGACUCCUGAUCGUGCGAGUCGACUCCGACCCCAACGGACACAUUGUCAGGUUGUGCAGAGUGUACAGAAUGGGCAGAAAAAGGUGUCUAACGGCUAGUUUCCGUGGGGGAUGGCUUAAAUAGCCACAGAGGACUGUAGCA
Molecule: long non-coding RNA, 260 nt
Filed under: Phoenix dactylifera (date palm)
Lineage: Eukaryota; Viridiplantae; Streptophyta; Magnoliopsida; Arecales; Arecaceae
Description: long non-coding RNA (PDAC_LNC011744)
Source: RNAcentral